RNAcentral lists this transfer RNA (67 nucleotides) under Potomida littoralis. Its description in RNAcentral is "tRNA-Phe". The record is from RNAcentral. Lineage: Eukaryota; Metazoa; Mollusca; Bivalvia; Unionida; Unionidae.
GGGGUAGUAGCUUAAAUCCGUUAAAGCACAACACUGAAAAUGUUAAGAUAGGACAAACUCGCCCCCA